CAGAGUUGCAAAACUCCCAACCAUUGUGAACCUACCUCACCGUUGCUUCGGCGGGUGGCCCCGGGGCAACCCGGAGCCGCGCCGGCCCCCGCUCUCGGGGCCCGGCAAACCCGUCAGAAGACCGAAACUCUUCGUCAUCAGUGGCCUCUCUGAGUAACUUAUACAAUAAGUCA
RNAcentral lists this unclassified non-coding RNA (173 nucleotides) under soil metagenome. Its description in RNAcentral is "partial internal transcribed spacer 1". The record is from RNAcentral.